UACGAAGGGGGCUAGCGUUGUUCGGAAUCACUGGGCGUAAAGCGCACGUAGGCGGAUCGUUAAGUCAGGGGUGAAAUCCUGGAGCUCAACUCCAGAACUGCCUUUGAUACUGGCGACCUUGAGUUCGGGAGAGGUGAGUGGAACUGCGAGUGUAGAGGUGAAAUUCGUAGAUAUUCGCAAGAACACCAGUGGCGAAGGCGGCUCACUGGCCCGAUACUGACGCUGAGGUGCGAAAGCGUGGGGAGCAAACAGG
This 253-nucleotide ribosomal RNA is filed under the name uncultured bacterium. Its description in RNAcentral is "partial 16S ribosomal RNA". It matches the Rfam family "Bacterial small subunit ribosomal RNA", at positions 524 to 776 of the family's 1533-position model. The record is from RNAcentral.